UACGGGAGGCAGCAGUGGGGAAUAUUGCACAAUGGGCGCAAGCCUGAUGCAGCCAUGCCGCGUGUAUGAAAAAGGCCUUCGGGUUGUAAAGUACUUUCAGUCGUGAGGAAGGUGUUAAGGUUAAUAACCUUAGCAAUUGACGUUAGCGACAGAAGAAGCACCGGCUAACUCCGUGCCAGCAGCCGCGGUAAUACGGAGGGUGCGAGCGUUAAUCGGAAUUACUGGGCGUAAAGGGCACGCAGGCGGUUAAUUAAGUUGGAUGUGAAAUCCCUGGGCUUAACCUGGGAAUGGCAUUCAAGACUGGUUAGCUAGAGUCUUGUAGAGGGGGUAGAAUUCCGAUGUGUAGCGGUGAAAUGCGUAGAGAUGUGGAGGAAUACCGGGUGGCGAAGGCGGCCCCUGGGACAAAGGACUGACGCUCAUGUGCGAAAGCGUGGGGAGCGAAACAGGGAUUAGAUACC
RNAcentral lists this ribosomal RNA (458 nucleotides) under uncultured bacterium. Its description in RNAcentral is "bacterial SSU rRNA". It matches the Rfam family "Bacterial small subunit ribosomal RNA", at positions 340 to 786 of the family's 1533-position model. The record is from RNAcentral.